RNAcentral lists this transfer RNA (71 nucleotides) under Cavia porcellus (domestic guinea pig). It matches the Rfam family "tRNA". Rfam says of the family: Transfer RNA (tRNA) molecules are approximately 80 nucleotides in length. The record is from Rfam by way of RNAcentral. Lineage: Eukaryota; Metazoa; Chordata; Mammalia; Rodentia; Caviidae.
GGGGAUUUAGCUCAGUGGCAUAAGCACCUGCCUUACAAGCAGGCGGUCGUGAGUUCGAUCCCCGGUACCCA